AACACAUGCAAGUCGAGGGGAAACGAUAUUGGAAGCUUGCUUCCGAUAGGCGUCGACCGGCGCACGGGUGAGUAACGCGUAUCCAACCUGCCCACCACUUGGGGAUAACCUUGCGAAAGUAAGACUAAUACCCAAUGAUAUCUCUAGAAGACAUCUGAAAGAGAUUAAAGAUUUAUCGGUGAUGGAUGGGGAUGCGUCUGAUUAGCUUGUUGGCGGGGUAACGGCCCACCAAGGCAACGAUCAGUAGGGGUUCUGAGAGGAAGGUCCCCCACAUUGGAACUGAGACACGGUCCAAACUCCUACGGGAGGCAGCAGUGAGGAAUAUUGGUCAAUGGACGAGAGUCUGAACCAGCCAAGUAGCGCGCAGGAAGACGGCCCUAUGGGUUGUAAACUGCUUUUAUAAGGGAAUAAAGUGAGAGUCGUGACUCUUUUUGCAUGUACCUUAUGAAUAAGGACCGGCUAAUUCCGUGCCAGCAGCCGCGGUAAUACGGAAGGUCCGGGCGUUAUCCGGAUUUAUUGGGUUUAAAGGGAGCGUAGGCCGGAGAUUAAGCGUGUUGUGAAAUGUAGACGCUCAACGUCUGCACUGCAGCGCGAACUGGUUUCCUUGAGUACGCACAAAGUGGGCGGAAUUCGUGGUGUAGCGGUGAAAUGCUUAGAUAU
Molecule: ribosomal RNA, 660 nt
Filed under: uncultured bacterium
Lineage: Bacteria
Description: bacterial SSU rRNA
Rfam family: Bacterial small subunit ribosomal RNA
Source: RNAcentral